Molecule: ribosomal RNA, 462 nt
Filed under: uncultured bacterium
Lineage: Bacteria
Description: partial 16S ribosomal RNA
Rfam family: Bacterial small subunit ribosomal RNA
Source: RNAcentral
ACGAACGCUGGCGGCGUGCUUAACACAUGCCAGUCGAACGAUGAACCGGUUUCGGCCGGGGAUUAGUGGCGAACGGGUGAGUAACACGUGGGCAAUCUGCCCUGCACUCUGGGAUAAGCCCGGGAAACUGGGUCUAAUACCGGAUACGACACUCCGAGGCAUCUUGGGGUGUGGAAAGUUCCGGCGGUGCAGGAUGAGCCCGCGGCCUAUCAGCUUGUUGGUGGGGUAAUGGCCUACCAAGGCGACGACGGGUAGCCGGCCUGAGAGGGUGACCGGCCACACUGGGACUGAGACACGGCCCAGACUCCUACGGGAGGCAGCAGUGGGGAAUAUUGCACAAUGGGCGAAAGCCUGAUGCAGCGACGCCGCGUGAGGGAUGACGGCCUUCGGGUUGUAAACCUCUUUCAGCAGGGAAGAAGCGAAAGUGACGGUACCUGCAGAAGAAGCACCGGCUAACUACGU